This 446-nucleotide ribosomal RNA is filed under the name uncultured bacterium. RNAcentral's name for it is "bacterial SSU rRNA". It matches the Rfam family "Bacterial small subunit ribosomal RNA", at positions 352 to 794 of the family's 1533-position model. The record is from RNAcentral.
UGAGGGAAUAUUUGGGUCAAUGGGGCGGAAGCCUGAACCAGCCAUGCCGCGUGAAGGACUAAGGCCCUAUGGGUCGUAAACAUCUUUAGACGCAGAGCAAUAAGGGUCUCGAGAGAUCCGAUGAGAGUAUGCGUAGAAUAAGCAUCGGCUAACUCCGUGCCAGCAGCCGCGGUAAUACGGGGGAUGCGAGCGUUAUCCGGAUUUAUUGGGUUUAAAGGGUGCGUAGGCGGAAGUGCAAGUCAGCGGUGAAAUCCCCGCGCUCAACGCGGGAGUUGCCGUUGAUACUGAGAGACUGGAGUGCGCUUGAGGUAGGCGGAAUGCGUUGCGUAGCGGUGAAAUGCAUAGAUAUGACGCAGAACUCCGAUUGCGAAGGCAGCUUACCAAAUCGCUACUGACGCUGAGGCACGAAAGCGUGGGGAUCGAACAGGAUUAGAUACCCUGGUAGU